This 1056-nucleotide ribosomal RNA is filed under the name uncultured soil bacterium. RNAcentral describes it as "bacterial SSU rRNA". It matches the Rfam family "Bacterial small subunit ribosomal RNA", at positions 8 to 1041 of the family's 1533-position model. The record is from RNAcentral.
AGAGUUUGAUCCUGGCUCAGGACGAACGCUGGCGGCGUGCCUAAUACAUGCAAGUCGAGCGGACUGAUGGGAGCUUGCUCCCUGAAGUCAGCGGCGGACGGGUGAGUAACACGUGGGUAACCUGCCUGUAAGACUGGGAUAACUCCGGGAAACCGGGGCUAAUACCGGAUAGUUCUUUUCCUCGCAUGAGGAAAAGUGGAAAGGUGGCUUUUAGCUACCACUUACAGAUGGACCCGCGGCGCAUUAGCUAGUUGGUGAGGUAACGGCUCACCAAGGCGACGAUGCGUAGCCGACCUGAGAGGGUGAUCGGCCACACUGGGACUGAGACACGGCCCAGACUCCUACGGGAGGCAGCAGUAGGGAAUCUUCCGCAAUGGACGAAAGUCUGACGGAGCAACGCCGCGUGAGUGAUGAAGGUUUUCGGAUCGUAAAGCUCUGUUGUUAGGGAAGAACAAGUGCCGUUCGAAUAGGGCGGCACCUUGACGGUACCUAACCAGAAAGCCACGGCUAACUACGUGCCAGCAGCCGCGGUAAUACGUAGGUGGCAAGCGUUGUCCGGAAUUAUUGGGCGUAAAGCGCGCGCAGGCGGUCUCUUAAGUCUGAUGUGAAAGCCCACGGCUCAACCGUGGAGGGUCAUUGGAAACUGGGAGACUUGAGUACAGAAGAGGAGAGUGGAAUUCCACGUGUAGCGGUGAAAUGCGUAGAUAUGUGGAGGAACACCAGUGGCGAAAGCGACUCUCUGGUCUGUAACUGACGCUGAGGUGCGAAAGCGUGGGUAGCAAACAGGAUUAGAUACCCUGGUAGUCCACGCCGUAAACGAUGAGUGCUAGUGUUAGGGGGCUUCCACCCCUUAGUGCUGAAGUUAACGCAUUAAGCACUCCGCCUGGGGAGUACGGCCGCAAGGCUGAAACUCAAAGGAAUUGACGGGGGCCCGCACAAGCCGUGGAGCAUGUGGUUUAAUUCGAAGCAACGCGAAGAACCUUACCAGGUCUUGACAUCCUCUGGACGACCCUAGAAGAUAGGGCUCUCCCCUUCGGGGGACAGAGUGACAGGUGG